This 292-nucleotide ribosomal RNA is filed under the name uncultured bacterium. RNAcentral's name for it is "partial 16S ribosomal RNA". It matches the Rfam family "Bacterial small subunit ribosomal RNA", at positions 505 to 796 of the family's 1533-position model. The record is from RNAcentral.
GUGUCAGCAGCCGCGGUAAUACAGGGGGUGCAAGCGUUACUCGGAAUUAUUGGGCGUAAAGAGCGCGUAGGCGGCUUGGUAAGUCUAAUGUGAAAGCCCCGGACUCAAUUCGGGAAGUGCAUUGGAUACUGCUGAGCUGGAGUACUGGAGAGGAGAGUGGAAUUCCAGGUGUAGAGGUGAAAUUCGUAGAUAUCUGGAGGAACAACAGAGGCGAAGGCGGCUCUCUGGACAGUAACUGACGCUGAGGCGCGAAAGCGUGGGGAGCAAACAGGAUUAGAUACCCUGGUAGUCC